GCGUGAGUGAAGAAGGCCCUUGGGUUGUAAAGCUCUUUCGUCGGGGAAGAAAAUGACUGUACCCGAAUAAGAAGGUCCGGCUAACUUCGUGCCAGCAGCCGCGGUAAUACGAAGGGACCUAGCGUAGUUCGGAAUUACUGGGCUUAAAGAGUUCGUAGGUGGUUAAAAAAGUUGGUGGUGAAAUCCCAGAGCUUAACUCUGGAACUGCCAUCAAAACUUUUUAGCUAGAGUAUGAUAGAGGAAAGCAGAAUUUCUAGUGUAGAGGUGAAAUUCGUAGAUAUUAGAAAGAAUACCAAUUGCGAAGGCAGCUUUCUGGAUCAUUACUGACACUGAGGAACGAAAGCAUGGGUAGCGAAGAGGAUUAGAUACCCUCGUAGUCCAUGCCGUAAACGAUGUGUGUUAGACGUUGGAAAUUUAUUUUCAGUGUCGCA
Molecule: ribosomal RNA, 431 nt
Filed under: uncultured Alphaproteobacteria bacterium
Lineage: Bacteria; Pseudomonadati; Pseudomonadota; Alphaproteobacteria
Description: bacterial SSU rRNA
Rfam family: Bacterial small subunit ribosomal RNA
Source: RNAcentral